RNAcentral lists this ribosomal RNA (3227 nucleotides) under Phacus similis. RNAcentral describes it as "partial large subunit ribosomal RNA". It matches the Rfam family "Eukaryotic large subunit ribosomal RNA", at positions 54 to 2422 of the family's 3401-position model. The record is from RNAcentral. Lineage: Eukaryota; Euglenozoa; Euglenophyceae; Euglenales; Phacaceae.
AGGAAGCCCAAGCAACUGCGAUUGCUACAGUAACGGCGAGUGAAGUGGCAUUACACAUGGCUCAACCUGAAUGAGAUCCCCCUGCACUGCCUAGGCAGGAGCAGUCGGCUAUUGUGGGUUUCAACAGAUGCUGUGGGUUCUGGAGUGGUCAGCAGUGCCAGUGGAUGGCUGUGGUGCCCUGAAAUGCCCUGGAAUGGCAUACAACAGAGGGAUACUGUCCCCUAGACCUGGCGUGUGCUAUGGCCUCCUAUGGUCUGCUGGCUACAUCCAAGAGUAGAGCGGCUUGGGACUGCAGUUUGAAGUGUGUGGUGUAUCCCACACAAGGAGGAAUACCACCAUGGGACCGAUAGCGCACAAGUAGAGUGAUUGAAGGAUGCAAAGGACUUUGCAAAGAGGGUUAAAAGUCCCUGAAGCCUCAGCAGGAACGGCGGUGUGCGGUGCUGUAGCCUGGACUACCAGCCCAAUGCAGGCCUACCUAUCAGACUUCUGUCUGAGGCUCUGCAGUGUGGUGCUGUGAGUUCCCAUACCAAGCGACCUUGGGCCAGCCCAGUGCUGGCUGUUGAGCCUAUCACUCCAGUGGUGGAUGCAAUCACAGCAGUGCUUUGGUGACAAACUGCCUGUCAGGGCCUGAGGUUUAUGGCAAUUGCAAAGGGCAUAUGGCUUGGCCUGUGGCAUCUGUGGACCCCUCUAGGGGAUCAUUUGUCCAGGCUGCCUGUGUGAUACCUAGCGCUGAACCUGGUGUGCCUAUGGGCAUGCCAGUCACUAGAGCCCAGCCAUGGUUGGGGCUAGCGAGUGCAUGAUAGCUGCACCACUUCGGUGGCUAUGGUGUGCCUGCUGGCCCCCCAGAUGGUGCUCAGUGCAGAUGGUAAGGCAGCUGAGCUUGGAUCAUCAGUGCCACUCACUGCCCGUCUUGAAACACGGACCAAGGAGUCUAUGGAGCUUGCAGGUUGGCAGGUGUUAUCAUGGAAAACCGGCAUGGCAUAGUGAAGGCAACGUUUCCCAGAAGUGUCUACUGCAUGGGAACCGGCCCCAUGUCCAUUGGACUGGGUUUUGAGUGAAUGCAAGGUCCAUGGGACCCGAAAGGUGGUGAACUAUACCGUUCCAUGACGAAGCCAUGGGAAACUGUGGUGGAGGUCAGUCGCUGUCCUGACGUGCAAAUUGUGUAGCCUGAGUGUGGCAUAGGGGUGAAAGGCCAAUCGAGCCACCUAGUAGCUGGUUUCCCUCGAAGUUUCCCUCAGGAUAGCUGGGUUCAAGUGCAAAUCCACUGAGUGGUUACGUCCGGUAAAGCAACGCAUGAGAGGCAAUCCCUGGGGAGGCUUCCCUCCUCAACCUAUUCUCGAACUGUGAAUGGGCGUGGCAAACCCAUAAGGCAUGCCUCUUCACCUGUGCUGGAGCCUGGGUCAAACCAGUUCUCUGGCCUUCUGGGCGUGUUUGAUGGUGGCUGCCUCACUCUGACUGACCUAGCCCUGGCCAUGCCCUGUGUGGUGCACCUCUGUGGAGCCUGCCUGGUAUGUCCCAGUGAGCUAUGGUUGUGAUCUGCAAUGGAGUGGUGAGAACUGCAAUCUGAAGUGAGGCUGCUGCUGUGGUGAACAAGUGUACCUAUGUGGGCCAUGAUUGGUAAGCAGUGCUGGCGAUGCGGGAUGCUCCGAGAGUGGACUUACAGAACCCUAGUGCUGGCUCAUACACAGAUCCCACAAAGGGUGUUGUCUGCUAUGGAUAGCAGGACGGUGGCCAUGAAGGUUGGAACCCGCUAAGGAAUGUGUAACAACUCACCUGCCGAAGUGCACAGCCCCGAAAAUGGAUGGUGCCCAAGUCAGUGAAGCUGAACUUGCCUUACAGUCCACCGCCACUGUGGCAGCAGAGCAGAGCAUUGUUGUGUAGAAAGGACAUGGGAGCUUGCAGUGAAUGUCAGGGUUGACCCUGGCUGGAGUGGCUUCUGGAGCAGAUCUUGGUUGUAGUAGCGAGUACUCCAUCAGGUGAAGGGCAGAACAACCCUGCUGUGUGUGGUUGAGGACUGGAGUGGAGCAGGUUUCCACACCAAACAGCCGUUGAAUGUGGGUCAACCGGCCGUGAGCCAAGUGGUAAAGUCACUGAACAACCAAAGCUGCCUAUCCCUCAGGGAAUCCAGGCUGUAGUGUGGGCUACCUUUGCAGUGCACAGGGCUGAUUGGUUCGUCCAGUCUGGACAGUGCAUGGGCUAUGCCAGUGCAAGGUAUGCCCCAGCUAUGCCCCCUGAGGAAGGUCUGGUGGGAUUGGCAAACAGGCGAGCAGGUGCAACAUUCUGCUGUAACGGGCUUGGAACCUUAUUGAGUGGCGACUCUAUGGCGAAUGGAGCAAGCAGGCUUUGGGGCAGUGCACCCCCUGAGGAGUUCUCUUUUCCUCCUGAUGAAGGUUCAUGUGGGCUAUCGAUUGACAUGACAGAUGGUGGUGUAUGCCCUCCACCCAGCAAAGCAGUGCAUCCUUGGCGCUGAUGGUGAUCUCAGUCAAUGGAACUUACCUGUGGCUGGUCUUUAUGACCCAACUACUGGCAUGAACCUCUCUAUGGUGGUCACUGGCUCCACUGAACAGCCUGUGGGGACACUGUGUUCCUAGUCCUGGCUUCCGUACUGAAUCACCGCAGCCGGUCUCCUCGGCUAGACGCCGCUGGUCAACGGAUUGAAUGCAGCUAAGGGAAGUCGGCAAACUAGCUGUGUACCUUCGGAAGAUGCAGUGGCUCCAGAGGUCAGGACACUGGGCCCUGCUAUGGACAGUGUGCAUGGUGAGGUUGGCAACCCUGUGUAGUGGCUUCACUGUCAUUGUGUGGGGACUGUCAGCCCUGCCUACACUGCUACAACUCGCUUGUGCCUCUAUGGUGGGGGGCCUGGAACGCACUUGUGCCUCUAGGUCCAUCCCAGUGUCUGUCAAGUGGCCCAUAUGGAACUGAUGCUGUGCAGGGGAAUCUGACUGUUUAAUUGAAACACAGCUUUGUGACGGGACCAGCUGGCUGGUACCAUGAGGUGACUUCUGCCCAGUGCUCUGAUUGUCAAUGCAAAGAGAUUUAGCCAAGCGCGGGUAAACGGCGGGAGUAACUAUGACUCUCUUAAGGUAGCCAAAUGCCUCGUCAACCAAUUAUUGACGCGCAUGAAUGGAUCAAUGAGAUUCCUGCUGUCCCUAGGUGCUGUCCGGUGAACCAACAGCCAAGGGAACGGGCUUGGGUGUGUCAGCGGGGAAAGAAGAGCCUGUUGAGAG